RNAcentral lists this non-coding RNA (193 nucleotides) under Syntrophales bacterium. Its description in RNAcentral is "6S RNA". It matches the Rfam family "6S / SsrS RNA". From Rfam's summary of the family: E. coli 6S RNA was the first non coding RNA to be sequenced, but its function was unknown until recently. It consists of 184 nucleotides that fold into an extended hairpin structure with a large single-stranded internal bulge. The record is from RNAcentral. Lineage: Bacteria; Pseudomonadati; Thermodesulfobacteriota; Syntrophia; Syntrophales.
AAUCCCCUGCAAUGUGCGUGGUGGCCUAUAGUUUUUUGAACCAACACCUUAUGACUAGGUGCCCUUCCUUGUUCGUGGUGUGCAUGUCCACCCCCUCCCGCGAGGGAUGGGGUGGAAAGCCUGAAGCAGCAACAGGGCGCUAACUUUUUAUAAGGUUCAAAAAAGUGGUUGUCACGGCAUAGGCGGGGGAGAU